This 460-nucleotide ribosomal RNA is filed under the name uncultured bacterium. Its description in RNAcentral is "partial 16S ribosomal RNA". It matches the Rfam family "Bacterial small subunit ribosomal RNA", at positions 338 to 795 of the family's 1533-position model. The record is from RNAcentral.
CCUACGGGAGGCAGCAGUGAGGAAUAUUGGUCAAUGGACGAGAGUCUGAACCAGCCAAGUAGCGUGAAGGAUGACUGCCCUAUGGGUUGUAAACUUCUUUUAUAUGGGAAUAAAAUGUUCCACGUGUGGGAUUUUGUAUGUACCAUAUGAAUAAGGAUCGGCUAACUCCGUGCCAGCAGCCGCGGUAAUACGGAGGAUCCGAGCGUUAUCCGGAUUUAUUGGGUUUAAAGGGAGCGUAGGUGGAUUGUUAAGUCAGUUGUGAAAGUUUGCGGCUCAACCGUAAAAUUGCAGUUGAAACUGGCAGUCUUGAGUACAGUAGAGGUGGGCGGAAUUCGUGGUGUAGCGGUGAAAUGCUUAGAUAUCACGAAGAACUCCGAUUGCGAAGGCAGUUCACUGGACUGCAACUGACACUGAGGCUCGCAAGUGUGGGUAUCAAACAGGAUUAGAUACCCCAGUAGUC